CCUGCUGCUUACACUUUUUCGACACUAGAUGCUGCCAGUAGGAGUGUACCUGAGGCGACAGGUGUUGUGCAUCUACUCAUCAGCUGGGAAGCAUAUAGAGGAAGGUUGCCAACACCUCAGUGCCUGAGUGUUUUUUCCUCCGUGGUAAUUUCUGGCCAGUUCUGAAAUCUUUGUGUGAAUCCUACCUGAUCUGUUCCAGUCCUUUGUAGUGGCUAAGGCUACUUCCUGAUCUAGUCUGUGCAUGGCAAGCUGAACUCCUUUCCUGACAUUUAUUCUCUCCCUGUAAUGAAGAUUAGACUCGUCGCUCCUGUUGUUCCUGAUCAAUCUUUCAAUAAAAACUUAUUCCUUUUACAAAGUUCUCUGGGAGUCUCUGCUUGUGGGUUAAGUUGGCUGUAAAAAUCAUGACAUCUGGUUGCAAAUGAUUUUGGAAGCCUGUGCUUGGAUCUAUGUCACUGAGUUUCUGACUUCGUUCCUGGAAGUUAUUGUGGAUGAUCAAGCCUAUCUUCGUUCUGAGGAUUCCUAUCCUGUCAUCUGCCUUUGUUUUGGAUUCGUAUCAAGCUGGCAGCUUCCUGUCCUCUCUGUCUCCUGAGCCAAGCCACAAGCGUACCCUGUCCACCCUUCAACAUAAACCACCGCACAUCAAACUUGUUUCUUUGUUCCGAGCUCACACAGAACAGCAGCAAGUGAACUCUCUCAGAAUCAGAAUCAGAAUCAGCUAUAUUGCCAAGUUCGUACAGACAAACAAGGAA
Long non-coding RNA from Girardinichthys multiradiatus, 749 nucleotides. RefSeq lists it as uncharacterized. The transcript is spliced from 4 exons. NCBI's taxonomy places the organism in Eukaryota, Metazoa, Chordata, Actinopteri, Cyprinodontiformes, Goodeidae. The record is from RefSeq and is a predicted model, not a curated record.